RNAcentral lists this ribosomal RNA (469 nucleotides) under uncultured bacterium. RNAcentral describes it as "bacterial SSU rRNA". It matches the Rfam family "Bacterial small subunit ribosomal RNA", at positions 28 to 507 of the family's 1533-position model. The record is from RNAcentral.
GACGAACGCUGGCGGCGUGCCUAACACAUGCAAGUCGAGCGGAGACAGUGAGUAGCUUGCUAUGAGCUGUUUUAGCGGCGGACGGGUGAGUAACGCGUGAGCAACCUUUCCCAGACAGGGGAAUAACACACCGAAAGGUGUACUAAUACCGCAUAAGACCACGGGAUCACAUGGUUCUGGGGUAAAAGAUUUAUCGGUUUGGGGUGGGCUCGCGUCCGAUUAGGUAGUUGGUGAGGUAACGGCCCACCAAGCCGACGAUCGGUAGCCGACCUGAGAGGGUGAUCGGCCACAUUGGGACUGAGACACGGCCCAAACUCCUACGGGAGGCAGCAGUGGGGAAUAUUGGGCAAUGGGCGCAAGCCUGACCCAGCAACGCCGCGUGAAGGAAGAAGGCUUUCGGGUUGUAAACUCCUGUUGUUGUAGGAAGAUAAUGACGGUACUCAACAAGGAAGUGACGGCUAACUACGUG